This 22-nucleotide microRNA is filed under the name Fasciola hepatica (liver fluke). RNAcentral describes it as "fhe-miR-9". Its record names the gene fhe-miR-9. Lineage: Eukaryota; Metazoa; Platyhelminthes; Trematoda; Plagiorchiida; Fasciolidae. The record is from miRBase by way of RNAcentral.
UCUUUGGUUAUCAAGCAGUAUG